AUCAAGUAAGACUACCCGCUGAACUUAAGCAUAUCAAUAAAGCGGAGGA
Molecule: ribosomal RNA, 49 nt
Filed under: Mortierella alpina
Lineage: Eukaryota; Fungi; Mortierellomycota; Mortierellomycetes; Mortierellales; Mortierellaceae
Description: partial 28S ribosomal RNA
Source: RNAcentral